GCCGGGCAGGGUGGCACGUGCCUGUAGUCCCAGCUACUCGGCAGGCUGAGGUGGGAGGAUCACUUGAGCCCAGUAGUUCUGGGCUGUAGUGUGCUAUGCCAAUCGGGUGUCCACACUAAGUUCAGCAUCAGUACGGUGACCUCCCGGGAGUGAGGGGCCACCAGGUUGCCUAAGGAGGGAUGAACCGGCCCAGGUCAGAAACAGAGCAGGUCAAAACUCCUGUGCAUCAGUAGUGGGAUCGAACCUGUGAAUAGCCAAUGCACUCCAGCCUCAGCAACAUAGCGAGACCCCAUCUCUU
Unclassified non-coding RNA from Callithrix jacchus (white-tufted-ear marmoset), 298 nucleotides. It matches the Rfam family "Metazoan signal recognition particle RNA". From Rfam's summary of the family: The signal recognition particle (SRP) is a universally conserved ribonucleoprotein. It is involved in the co-translational targeting of proteins to membranes. The eukaryotic SRP consists of a 300-nucleotide 7S RNA and six proteins: SRPs 72, 68, 54, 19, 14, and 9. The record is from Ensembl. Lineage: Eukaryota; Metazoa; Chordata; Mammalia; Primates; Cebidae.